GAAUAUUGGACAAUGGGGGCAACCCUGAUCCAGCCAUGCCGCGUGUGUGAAGAAGGCCUUUUGGUUGUAAAGCACUUUAAGCAGUGAAGAAGACUCCAUGGUUAAUACCCAUGGACGAUGACAUUAGCUGCAGAAUAAGCACCGGCUAACUACGUGCCAGCAGCCGCGGUAAUACGUAGGGUGCAAGCGUUAAUCGGAAUUACUGGGCGUAAAGCGUGCGCAGGCGGUUCGGCAAGAAGGAUGUGAAAUCCCAGGGCUUAACCUUGGAACUGCAUCUGAUACUGUUAGGCUAGAAUAGGUGAGAGGAAGGUAGAAUUCCAGGUGUAGCGGUGAAAUGCGUAGAGAUCUGGAGGAAUACCGAUGGCGAAGGCAGCCUUCUGGCAUCAUAUUGACACUGAGGUUCGAAAGCGUGGGUAGCAAAC
Molecule: ribosomal RNA, 422 nt
Filed under: uncultured bacterium
Lineage: Bacteria
Description: bacterial SSU rRNA
Rfam family: Bacterial small subunit ribosomal RNA
Source: RNAcentral